AUACUUACCUGGCAGGGGAGACACCAUGAUCAUGAAGGUGGUUCUCCCAGGGCGAGGCACGGCUAUUGCACACUCUAGGCUGUGCUGAUCGUGGUUGUCUUCCCUGCCGCUUCUCGGCCUUUUGGCUAGGACUGGGUGUGGUAUCUGUCCUCAUCAGUU
Rana temporaria (common frog) is the source of this 159-nucleotide small nuclear RNA. RefSeq annotates it as U1 spliceosomal RNA. The transcript has a single exon. NCBI's taxonomy places the organism in Eukaryota, Metazoa, Chordata, Amphibia, Anura, Ranidae. The record is from RefSeq and is a predicted model, not a curated record.